CACCCUUCUGCAUAACUGACUAAAGUCUAUCAGUGGUAAAGUAUAUGAUUAUAUGUGUAUGUAUUGCAUGUUAUGAAUAGGUAAUAUAAUUAUAUUGGAGGAAGGGGGCAGAGGGGUCAGGUGGUAAUUAAGGGCAACAACCCCUGAACCUCAGCUGUAAAGGGACGUUAAUUAUUAAUGCACGCAUAUUGGGGGGAUUUCCACUAGUUACAACAGGUACAAAGUAAAAGUUGGCUGUAUUGUAAAACUUAAUGGAAGAAAAUAGCUUUGUGCUCUUAAUUUAUAGUUAGGCAUAAGGUCAGCACUAGUGUGGGUAGGAUUAGGGUUACAAUCUUUAAAGAGAAAUGGUCGAAAUAGGCGGGGUCUAUGACUUUGUGGCUGUGCUAACUAUAGUGGCGACCAGUGGAUGAGAGAGCCACGGUAGCGCCUGAUUUGGCACAGACAGGACGUCGGAGUAGGCUGUAUGUGUUUGUACCCCAUUUACAGAACUGGGAGGUUGAGUGCUCCUGUCAACGAGUGAAAGCUGCGCUUGCAUCGGGCGCUGUGAAAAUGGCGGAUGACUGCGCUAGGCUCAGUACAAUAAUCGGUCAAUGUUCGCACGGCAGACUUUGCCCGGUGAGGGAGUGUUGUGUGUACGGAAAUCCAGUAACGUGGCGCGAGCAGCUGUCAAGCAAAGCUAGUAGCGGAACGGGGGCUCCUCGGGCUGUCAAGCGAGUCGACCGCUGGAGCGCGCAAGGGCUAUAGCCCAGACCCCCAUUGAUACUACUGCUGCUGCCAUGGAGAGGAAAGAGCAUCCAGUUGGAGAAGUCCUCAUCAUUCCAAUGAGAUCUUCAACAUCACUUUCGCCCCAGGAUUCAGCGCGACCCCUUCCCCUUCAGCCCUCCUCCCCUCCUCCACCCCUCUCUCUGUCCAGUCCCCAGCUCCAGACUGAGUUUCUGAGAAGAGCUCCCAGAGCUGCUUCCCUGACAACGACUCGGCUAGACACCAAAACCUUCUCCACCAACCCUCUCCCUCUGUCUCCCCUUCUCCUCCCCUCCUCCCCCUCUUUCCUCCCUCCUC
Oncorhynchus nerka (sockeye salmon) is the source of this 1059-nucleotide long non-coding RNA. RefSeq lists it as uncharacterized. The transcript has 3 exons. Lineage: Eukaryota; Metazoa; Chordata; Actinopteri; Salmoniformes; Salmonidae. The record is from RefSeq and is a predicted model, not a curated record.